This 467-nucleotide ribosomal RNA is filed under the name uncultured bacterium. RNAcentral describes it as "partial 16S ribosomal RNA". It matches the Rfam family "Bacterial small subunit ribosomal RNA", at positions 28 to 507 of the family's 1533-position model. The record is from RNAcentral.
GACGAACGCUGGCGGCGUGCUUAACACAUGCAAGUCGAACGGAAAGGCCUCUUUCGGGGGGUACUCGAGUGGCGAACGGGUGAGUAAAACGUGAGUAACCCGCCCUUGCCUUUGGGGUAUAACCAGGAAACUGGGGUUAUUACCCGAUAGGAGCUCCUGCUGCAUGGUGGGGGUUGGAGAGUUUCGGCGGUUGGGGAUGGGCUCGCGGCGUAUCAGCUUGUUGGUGGGGUAGUGGCUUACCAAGGCUUUGGCGGGUAGCCGGCCUGAGAGGGUGACCGGCCACAAUGGGGCUGAGAUACGGCCCAGACUCCGACGGGGGGAAGAAGUGGGGAAUAUUGCACGAUGGGUGGAAGCCUGAUGCAGCAACGCUGGGGGCGUGAGGACGGCCUUCGGGUUGUAAACCGCGUUCGCUCAUGACGAAGCUUUGUGUGACGGUAGUGGGUAAAGAAGCACCGGCUAACUACGUG